This 673-nucleotide ribosomal RNA is filed under the name Kondoa sp. F45. RNAcentral describes it as "eukaryotic LSU rRNA". The stretch from base 243 to 397 matches the Rfam family "5.8S ribosomal RNA". The record is from RNAcentral. Lineage: Eukaryota; Fungi; Basidiomycota; Agaricostilbomycetes; Agaricostilbales; Kondoaceae.
CUUGGUCAUUUAGAGGAAGUAAAAGUCGUAACAAGGUUUUCGUAGGUGAACCUGCGGAAGGAUCAUUAGUGAAACAUAGAGUGCUCUUCAUUGAGGCUCGUUUAACUAUCCAUUACACUUUGUGAACUUGAACCUACUUUCAAAACAAAAGGACUUUGGGUCUUUGCGUUUUGAUUGUAACACACAAAACCCCUUUGCUUAACAAGUGAUGAUGAUGUAUCAUGAUUUGAAAUGAAAGAAACAACUUUCAGCAACGGAUGUCUUGGCUCUCGCAUCGAUGAAGAACGCAGCGAAAUGCGAUACGUAAUGUGAAUUGCAGAACUCAGUGAAUCAUCGAAUUUUUGAACGCACCUUGCGCUCUUUAGUUAUUCUGAAGAGCAUGCUUGUUUGAGUGUCGCGAACCUCUCAACCCCGCCAAAGGCUUGAGUGACUUUGGUUGUUUGGGCUUGGAUCAUGGUCUAUGUCGCUGCCUUUUUGGCUUCGACUUGACUGAAAUACAACAAGUUGAAUGGUUUCAUUUGCAGCUUGACCUGAUGUUGCAAUACACUCAUCGGGGAUGCAAUGAACACUAAAGGAACUUUAACAAAAUCUCAUUAGUGCUUCUAAAGUGCAUUUAUGACCUCAAAUCAAGCAGGACUACCCGCUGAACUUAAGCAUAUCAAUAAGCGGAGGA